UUGGUUUCUUGCCUCUCUCUCACGAUUGACAGCUUCCGUCCCCCUCUGCCCUCCGUCUCCCUUUCUCUUCUCGACGAAGCAGCAGAACAGAGUAGUCCAGUGGUUCCUCUAUUUCUUACCGGCGAACAGAGCUACGGCGACACCUUUUUCCCUUCAUAUCUAGUCGACGGCGACAACUAGAUCGUGACCGGCAAGCUUCCAGCGACGAAGUUUCCUCUCGCGGUGGUUGGACCAAAAGCAGUUGCGACGGCUGGACCUCCCUCGGUGAGCAGCGGCUAUGGGCGGUGGAGGUUUGCGGUGUUGUGACUUGAGCUGUGGUUGCCGGUAGUGUGGUGUGGUUAGGAGGGGUGGCGGCGAAGCUUCCCUUUUCCGGCAAAGUUGUGGACAAAGCUGAGGUUUCCCAUUAUGGACUUGCUUAUGAGUUGAGUCGAGGAUUGGUGUUGAUUUUAGAGCUUAGCUUGAGGAUCUGAAAUUAGUGACUUGCCUUGAGAGCGCGGCAAAGAGUUCGUAUGCCUUGUAAUAGAAUUUGGUAUAGAUCCUUUGGUUUUAGAAUUUGAAUUAUAGAAUUGUAGUUAACUGGAUUUGGGGAUUAUGAAAUGUUGUAUUGGGAAAUUGUAUUAUGGUUUUCAGAUAGAACCUUUGCAGCCUGUGCGUUUGGGCUUAGUUGGUUACCUAAACGUGGCGUGACACCCCAAUGGUUUUGAUUUUGAUUUUGUUUCCGCAUUUG
Long non-coding RNA from Ipomoea nil (Japanese morning glory), 727 nucleotides. RefSeq lists it as uncharacterized. The transcript has 2 exons. Lineage: Eukaryota; Viridiplantae; Streptophyta; Magnoliopsida; Solanales; Convolvulaceae. The record is from RefSeq and is a predicted model, not a curated record.